UUGGUAUAUGUGUGUGGAGUUAGUCUCUUGGUGCUUUGGUCUCUUCUAUUGAGAGUGGGCUUAUGGUUGUUUUGUUUGUGAGGUGCUUCUUACCUUUUAGCUGGUGGUUUUGCUUUAUGCAUGUGUUUUCCUGCUUCGUGGUGACUUUGAUUUUCCGGUGAUUAUUCUUCCUCUGAUCCGUUUUUUUGGUGUUUUGGGUUGAUGUUUGAUCGCGUUCAUUUGUGUUCUAGACCUUUAUUGAGUUAGUGUUACUAUAGUAUUUUAUUUUUUCUUUGUGAUUGUGGAGAUUUAAGUUUAGAUUAUGUGUCUUACUCUAGUUUUUUUUAGUUUUGUUAUUUUAUGAUUUUUAAUAGUAAAAUAAAUUAUAAUUUGUAAAUAAAAUAAUAGAAAAUAGUAAAAAAUAAUAAAAUAGUAAAAUAGUAAAAGUUUAUGUUAUUUUUAGUUGUGAAUAAAUAAAAUAUUUAAAAUCGAUUUAUAUUAUUUUUAUUUUUUCUUUAUUCAUCUUCAAUUUUAUUGACCAAUAAAAUAUAUUAUAAAACUUCAUAUAAUAAUGGUUAGUGUGAGAAAAAUUAUAGUUCACAAUUAAAAAAUACUAAACGAAUCUGCAAUAUAGUGUAAAAGAGGAAGUACGUAAAAUGUAAAAACAAAAAAUAUAUAGGGACACAUGUCAUCAAACUCCCUUGUCAUUUGUCAUAAAAAGGGAAAAAAUUAACUUUAUAUACAUAGAUUGAAACGUUUGAUAACAUAAGCAUAAUAUAACUGAAUUUUACAAUUUUUCAGAUGAAGAAAGUUAUUAUUUUUAAUCAUAAAUAUUUUUUUAAUAUAUAUGAACAAUCUUAAACCUCAAUCUUUAUAUACAAAAUAAGUAUUAGUUUAUUAACAGCAUAGUUCGAACUAAUUAUUAGCACUAUUUUUAAAGAAUAUAAUUUUUUAUUAGUACUA
This 942-nucleotide long non-coding RNA is filed under the name Brassica napus (rape). Its description in RNAcentral is "long non-coding RNA (BNAP_LNC012486)". Lineage: Eukaryota; Viridiplantae; Streptophyta; Magnoliopsida; Brassicales; Brassicaceae. The record is from RNAcentral.